CUGUCUCUAUUUAAUUAAAUAUUUGAAUUUAAUUUUUAAGUUAAAAAGCUUAAAUUUAUUUAAAGGACGAGAAGACCCUAUAGAGUUUAAUUAAUAAAAUUUAUAAAAAAUUUUAAUUGUAAUUUUAUAUAAUAUUUUAUAAUUUUAUUGGGGCGAUUAAAAAAUUUAAUAAACUUUUUUAUUUUAUUUAACAUUUGUAAAUGAAUUUUUGAUCCUAUUUUUUAGAUUAAUAGAUUAAAUUACCUUAGGGA
RNAcentral lists this ribosomal RNA (251 nucleotides) under Nematus sp. 1_KMKC. RNAcentral describes it as "partial 16S ribosomal RNA". The record is from RNAcentral. Lineage: Eukaryota; Metazoa; Arthropoda; Insecta; Hymenoptera; Tenthredinidae.